AUUGAACGCUGGCGGCAUGCCUUACACAUGCAAGUCGAACGGUAACACGUCUUCGGAUUCUGGCGGGUGGCGGACGGGCGAGUAAUACAUCGGAACGUACCCGACCGUGGGGGAUAACGAGGCGAAAGCUUUGGUAAUACCGCAUACGAUCUACGAAUGACAGCGGGGGGUCUUCGGACCUCGCGCGGUCGGAGCGGCCGAUGGCGGAUUAGGUAGUUGGUGGGGUAAAAGCUUACCAAGCCGACGAUCUGUAGCUGGUCUGAGAGGAUGAGCGGCCACACUGGGACUGAGACACGGCCCAGACUCCUACGGGAGGCAGCAGUGGGGAAUUUUGGACAAUGGGCGAAAGCCUGAUCCAGCCAUGCCGCGUGCAGGAUGAAGGCCUUCGGGUUGUAAACUGCUUUUGUACGGAACGAAAAGCCUCUUUCUAAUAAAGAGGGGUCAUGACGGUACCGUAAGAAUAAGCACCGGCUAACUACGUG
RNAcentral lists this ribosomal RNA (482 nucleotides) under uncultured bacterium. Its description in RNAcentral is "partial 16S ribosomal RNA". It matches the Rfam family "Bacterial small subunit ribosomal RNA", at positions 30 to 507 of the family's 1533-position model. The record is from RNAcentral.